Long non-coding RNA from Triticum dicoccoides, 754 nucleotides. RefSeq lists it as uncharacterized. The record is from RefSeq and is a predicted model, not a curated record. The transcript has 2 exons. Lineage: Eukaryota; Viridiplantae; Streptophyta; Magnoliopsida; Poales; Poaceae.
CCACGCCAAAUGCUUCCGUCGCCGGGGUGAAACGAAAGCGGCAGGGCAACCAUGCCGUGCAUGGAGUCAGGCCCCUUCUGACUGCGGGCGCCAUUCUUCCUCCCGCGUACAGCGGUGCUGUCUCACGGGCCGGCUCGAGGAUGGGUGCCUCCUCCACCCCCUCCAUCGAAUGGGCGAAAUCACAAGACAAGGGCUCGAGGAAGGGCAAGGCUCCGGCGGCUUGACGACGGAUGCCUCCUCCACCCAAUCUGGCGGCCCAUGUACCCCGCAUUCCCUUAAACUCCACAUGCGUCCACAAUAUGUUUGAGCAAACACCGAAGAGAUUGUUGGAGGAGAACGAGGUGAACAUCAUGAAUGCUCCACUUGGCACAUUCGAUUCUGCCAUGGAAGCCAACGUCAAAGCCGAGGUGGAAGAGGAGGAUGACGAAAAUAAUGAUGUAGAAGAGGUUGAGGAGAAGGGGUUCGAUGCUACCCAAGGAAGAUUUGGAAAAUGAAGCAACAAUUACAUAGAGAUGGAUGAUUUUUGUUUGGUGAGAUUUUGUAAGUGUGUGUCACUUGAUGAAGUUGCCACCGGUGUUCAACCGGCAAAAAAUAUUGGCAAUUCAUUGAGGACAAGUAUCAUAAGCUCAUGGACGUCACAUCUUCAUGUUCAUUGAAAUCACUCGAAGGCCAUUGGGAUGUGAAAAAAACAAUGUGCCCGUUGGAGUGGUUGCUUGGAGCAAGUGUGGAAUGCAUGGUUUGUGAUUGAUGACUA